AGAUCAUGAACUAAAAAAAUAUUGAAGCCAACUUACUAGGUCUGCGUCGCGGUUGUGGUGUGGAACUCAUGGUGUCAGUUUACCAUUGUCGCAGAGAUCAAUGCAAAUAUUUCAUAUUGUAGUUUAUUUACGGCAAGAGAGGUUUUGGAAAUUAUAUCAUUUUGAAAUAAAAUUGUAUUUUUUUGUUAGUCUUUACGGCUGAUGUUCAUUUUGAUUAUAAUCCGUCAUAAAACUGUUGCGAUUUAUAUUCUCUUUGCCGUCAUACAAUCCACUAACGAGUCCAGAAUUUAUUCCAAGGAUUUCUAUGAUCAAAAAUUUUCGUUCAAAGCUCGGGACUCUUGUAAUUUAUAGAAUCUAUACUAUAAUAAAUGUUCGUAAUUUAAUCUUAAGUUUUAAAAUAUUACCAAAUUCAAAAUUCAGUUCAAUUUCUGUUACUCAUUAAGAGAUCACAAGAUAUUAAAAAAAACACUAUUUUGUCAAAUGAAAUCCUUCCCUUAAAUGAAACCUAUAGUAUAGGUUUAAAACGCUGGCUUCUUUUUCUUUUUAAAAAGUAGGUGUGGCUUCUGCCAUGUUGCCUUCUUUCAAGUUGGCAAUUCUUACUUUCAUCUUGACUUUGACACGAUUUUACUUCUAUUUUCUUUGAACUUGACAACAUCCAUCCAAUGUAACUUGAAUCAAAAACAACAAAAAUAAUGUGUAUCUUAAAAAUUAUGGGAAAAAAUGAUAUGUUCACUUAAUAUUCUCAUUUGUUAAAGGGCGUGUACCUAGACAAAUUGAGAGUUGAGGAGGUUCUAUUAUGAGCCAGAGAAGACCAGCGGCUGCGGCUGGCGGUGGUGGAGGGGGUCGGGGCGGCGGUGAGACCAGUCUGGUCCCCAUCUUAGGGGGCCUGAUAAUAGGAACUGGUUUGCUGUAUUUCGCUUAUAGGAUGUUAACACCGAAAAAAAAGAAAAAGGCAUAUAACCCAUUGAUAGACGCAAAUGGUCCGCCACCCAGCGGCUGCGUUGUUAUGAAGUCAUGUGAUUGUAACCUAGAUUGAACACACGCCUCUCGUCUCGUUCAGCUAAAGAGUUAGUUGAUAAUUAACCUUGUUUCAAUUGAUGAUUAAUGUUGCCAAUGCAAUUGUCUAACGGCUCGUUGUAAAGGAAGACCUAAACGGGUCCUGUCUUUUGUUAUUGUCAUUGUCCCCAAGAAACAUUUUAGAAUUAAAUUAUAACCGAAACUGUG
Pectinophora gossypiella (pink bollworm) is the source of this 1224-nucleotide long non-coding RNA. RefSeq lists it as uncharacterized. Lineage: Eukaryota; Metazoa; Arthropoda; Insecta; Lepidoptera; Gelechiidae. The transcript is spliced from 2 exons. The record is from RefSeq and is a predicted model, not a curated record.